RNAcentral lists this ribosomal RNA (418 nucleotides) under uncultured bacterium. RNAcentral describes it as "bacterial SSU rRNA". It matches the Rfam family "Bacterial small subunit ribosomal RNA", at positions 355 to 765 of the family's 1533-position model. The record is from RNAcentral.
UAGGGAAUAUUGGACAAUGGGGGCAACCCUGAUCCAGCCAUGCCGCGUGAGUGAAGAAGGCCCUCGGGUUGUAAAGCUCUUUUGUCCGGAAAGAAAAGCAUUCGGUGAAUACCCGGAUGUUCUGACGGUACCGGAAGAAUAAGCACCGGCUAACUUCGUGCCAGCAGCCGCGGUAAUACGAAGGGUGCAAGCGUUACUCGGAAUUACUGGGCGUAAAGCGUGCGUAGGUGGUUGUUUAAGUCUGAUGUGAAAGCCCUGGGCUCAACCUGGGGAGGGCAGUGGAAACUGGGCAGCUAGAGUGCGGUAGAGGGUAGUGGAAUUCCCGGUGUAGCAAUGAAAUGCGUAGAGAUCGGGAGGAACAUCUGUGGCGAAGGCGACUGCCUGGACCAGCACUGACACAGAGGCACGAAAGCGUGGG